GCUCUAUCUAGUGCCGUCCUUGCAGCAUGCUACAUGGCUGCAAUCUACUGGGCUGGUGGCCAAACUGGGCCAGUCUUGUCCUUACGGCGUACACGAUCAACAGCGACCUGAAAUAAUGGCGGUCAUCGACGCGGGUAGAUGUGGAUUCUUCCCCGGGAUAAUAAUGCUGAUAAACUUCAGCAUUCGAUCGUGUUCUCUGGCGUCCAAAUCGACACCUUGGUUGCAGCCGCGUCACGGGGCUCCCCUCUCGUCGCGUCAACGCCCCAAGCCGCUCUGCUUCUUUUUUAUGGUUGAGGAAGUAGGUACAGUUCACAAGGAGCCAGGGAAGUGCCGAGUUGACCGUUUGAUUGUGUCCAGUAGGUGAGCGGCAGACGGGCGGAUCGUCCCGAGCACCGGCGACAUGGCGUUGGCCGGCGGAGAUGCUCGCGGCGAGCUCGUCUGCGUGACCGGCGGCAGCGGCUUCAUCGGCUCCUGGCUCGUCCGCCUCCUCCUCGGCCGCGGCUACACCGUCCACGCCACCGUCCAGAACCUCCAGGACGAGGCCGAGACGAAGCACCUGCAGGCUCUGGAUGGCGCGGACACGCGGCUCCGGCUGUUCCAGAUGGACCUCCUCGACCCCGCCUCCGUCCGGCCGGCGGUCGAGGGCGUCCACGGCGUCUUCCACCUGGCCUCCCCCGUGAUACUGCAGCCCGCACAAGACCCCGAGAACGAGCUGCUGCUGCCGGCGAUCAACGGCGCGCUCAACGUCCUCCGCGCGGCGAAAGACAGCGGGGUCAAGCGUGUCGUGAUGGUGUCUUCGCAGACGGCCAUGUGUCCGACUGCCGCCGACUGGCCUGCCGGCAAGGUCAUAGACGACGACUGCUGGGCCGACGUUGAGAUCCUCAAGAAACUUGAGCUUUGGUACAACGUCUCCAAAACGCUGGCCGAGAAGGCGGCGUGGGACUUCGCCGGAGAGGAAGGAUUGCAGCUGGUUGUGCUGAAUCCGGGGUUGGUGUUGGGCCCGACGUUGACCCCGGCACCUACUGGUAGCCUCCGUCUGCUGAUGCUGCUUCUGGGAGGCCAGAAGCUUGACAUGGAACCCUUCUUCGUCGGCUGCGUCGACGUCAGAGAUGUGGCACAAUCUCUGGUGGUGCUCUAUGAGAACCCGUCGGCGCAGGGACGCCACCUGUGCAUGGAGUCAGCCGUACGCCUCGUCGAUUUCCACGAUGAACUUGCUAAUCUUUACCCCGAAUUUCCGGUUCACAGGAUCCAGGAGGACAAGCAGGGCUGGGUGGUGAGAUCAAAGGCUCCGUCCAAGAAACUGAUCGAUCUGGGCGUUCGUUUCACCCCAUUCGACAAAACUGUCAGGGACACGGUGGAUUGCUUGAGGAACAAAGGAGAAAUCUAGCCUCCAAACAAAUGUACAUUUGCAGGAAUAAAUUCUGCUGGAAAACUGCCGCGGUGCAUAGACAUAAAGCGAAUAAAGUUGAGUUGAACUACUAUGUGAGGAUGUUGUACAAUGGCGCUUCACGGGUUUUUAUGGUAAUCCAAAUUGGAGUGAUUGUCACUUGUCUUGGGGUGAUAUUCGUAAUUUUCAUAAUAAGGACACUCAUCCUUGGAUCGUCUUAGGAGAUUUUAAUGAAAUUUUAUACUCUUUGGAAAUCAUGGGUGGUAAUGCGAGACCUAAUGCAAUGAUGGAGUUCCGUGAUUGUCUCAUAGAGCGUGGUUUGGACGAUUUGGGUUUCCCUGGCGAUCCUUUUACCUCGAGAAGAGGUGAAAUCAGGUAACAACUGGACCGGGCAGUUUGCAAUGUGGACUGGGCACAUAAAUUUCUUCGGAUUGCAUUUAUUAACGAGGAACACGUACACUCUGACCAAAGCAUGUUGGUUCUGGAUAUGGAUUAUUUCGGUGACAAUAUGUUUAGUCGUCCGAAGAGCCGUGUGAAACAAUUGGAAGGCAGGUGUCUGAAACAAGAGACCGUUGUUGAAAUUGUCACGUCGUCCUGA
Molecule: ribosomal RNA, 1985 nt
Filed under: Triticum aestivum (bread wheat)
Lineage: Eukaryota; Viridiplantae; Streptophyta; Magnoliopsida; Poales; Poaceae
Description: partial small subunit ribosomal RNA
Source: RNAcentral